GAGGGAUUUUUUUGAAAUCAAUAAGGAUAUUAUGGUUAUUAUGGGUUAAAUGUCACGCCCCGGGGUCCCUUUCGGUUUAAGAGAUAGCGGAAAAGCGUCUGAAAUUUUUUUUUGAAAAUCUGACCCCAGAGUAUGUCAGAUCCGCCACAAAUAUAGGAGAUCCACUAUACACACGGACAGAGUCUCCCCUGUAUUUGCACGGCGUCGCACAAGUAUAAGAAUACAACCAGGAUACAACCAUAACUAGAUGAAUAUAAAGAUCACUAUACAUUCAUACAUUCACCAUUCACAUCACAGUUUUACAUUCAAUGUUUAAACAGAAAUCCAUAAAAAUUUUUUUUUGAAAACUGUUUCCUACACGGAAACCUUUAUUCUUUAAAAACGCUACCACGAGGGGUAGAAAACCUUUUAUUACAUUCAUGAAAAUCCACAUAUUCAAAUGUAAUAAAAAUACUGAACCAUAUAAACUAUCUAAGCUAUAUAUCAACAGAAAUAAAAAGGGUAAGAGCUAAACUGAACGACCUGCGUCGGAAGAUCUAUCGACCGCUACGUACGUGUCUCACGUCUCGUCUAAACCUCACCACCUGCAAUACCUGAAAAAUGGUGGGGGAGGUGAGAACAUGUAAACAUGUCUCCCCUCCCAGUGGGUACCGCAAGCCGAUGAAGGCGGGGAGUACUCACCGGAUCAGGAAGAGAUAAACAACAAUAUGGGUAAGUGGAAAUAUAGCAGCAACAACAAUAAACGAAAGAGAUAUGUAAGGUAAUGAGCAGAUAAAUCGAAUACAGUAGCAAUAAACUGAAAGAAAGUAAGAACUAGACUGAAUAACGGCUACCGCUACUGUAACUGAAAUCGAAAGCAUACAUGAAUAUCUCCUAUAGUAGCGAGACAACUAUAAAGUAAGAACUGUAAAUAUGCAUGCAACGACUGCUACUAUAGACAUAUGCGUCAACUUACGAUAACCUCAAAAGUACCAAAUCUCGCUGCCCUAUUGGUCCGAAGACCUCAG
Molecule: long non-coding RNA, 1007 nt
Filed under: Ananas comosus (pineapple)
Lineage: Eukaryota; Viridiplantae; Streptophyta; Magnoliopsida; Poales; Bromeliaceae
Description: long non-coding RNA (ACOM_LNC040177)
Source: RNAcentral